ACACCCAACCGUUUUGGGGAGGAGCAGAGGAGGGCGGUCGUUGCAGACAGAGAGAGAUUGCAGAGAGGGAGGGCGAUCGUUGCAGACAGAGAGAGAUUGCAGAGAGGGAGAGUGCGUUUCUCCAUCUUCCCCUCUUUUUAAAAAACCGACCGUUGAGCCUGUAAGUGGCUUACUGGGAAGUGACUUCUCACGCCCAUCGCCCUGCAAUUUUUUGGUUGAUUUGCCUGCAAGUGACUUACAGGUGAAUUUUCUCCCCCAAACACCACCUGUAAGUGACUUCCCUGUAAGUCACUUCCCACUUACCCAACUUACAGGCAUCCAAACAGGCCCUAAGAUUUUGAAAUUGGGGGGCAUUCAGGCUAGGGUUUUGAAAUUGGGAUCUUUUGCGUGGGGAAUUCGGGCUAGGGUUUUGAAAUUGGGAUCUUUUGUGUGGGGAAGUCGGGCUAGGUUUUUCAAAUUGGGAUCUUUUGUGUGGGGAAUUCGGGCCAGGGUUUUCAAAUAGGGACUUCUUCUUUUCAAAAAUUUCGAGCUGGUAUUUUUUUUUUUUUUUUUUUUUUCCGUAUUAUAAUUCGAAGGAUGCUAUUCUGGACUUAUGCAAAGCCAAAACAAUGGAAAAACUAAGUUUGGAUUUUGGUUCUCUUCUCUUGAAAUAGGAAAUCAAUUCAAGCUUGGCAGUGGGGAAAAGGUUACACAGAUUGGGCAGGAGAAGUUGGAUUUCUAUUUGUUUUUGUUUUUUAGAAGAAUCAAGAAUCCAUCAACCAGAAUUUUCAUAUUCAUAUCAGGAAAAAGAAGAAGAAGAAGAAGAGACUAAAUAAUUGGGUCUUGGAGUUGAGAUUUUUGAAGAAAUAAUCAAUGGGUAAGAACGAUUUCCUCACGCCAAAGGCAAUUGCCAACCGAAUCAAAGCAAAAGGUCUUCAGAAGCUGCGUUGGUAUUGCCAGAUGUGCCAAAAACAAUGCCGUGAUGAGAAUGGCUUCAAAUGCCACUGCAUGAGUGAGAGCCACCAGCGCCAGAUGCAGGUCUUUGGCCAGAACCCUAACCGCAUCAUCGACGGCUACUCGGAGGAGUUCGAGGCGAUGUUCCUUGAGCACAUGAAGCGGAGCCACCGUUUCAGUCGUGUUGCUGCCACCGUCGUCUACAAUGAGUACAUUGCAGACCGCCACCACAUCCACAUGAACUCAACACAAUGGGCUACGCUCACAGAAUUUGUCAAGUACUUGGGCCGCACCGGGAAGUGCAAGGUCGACGAGACACCGAAAGGGUGGUUCAUGACAUACAUUGACCACGACUCAGAGACUUUGUUCAAGGAACGACUCAAGAACAAACGGAUGAAGUCGGACAUCGUGGAGGAGGAGAGACAAGAGCAGGAGAUCAAGAAGCAGAUCGAGCUGGCUGAAAAAUUAAUGCCAGCAUCGAGAAAUGUAUCUGAUGAGAAAUCCGAGCCACUGCCUUUGCAAUCGGAGCCGAUUGGCAAGAUUGCUUUCUCACUUGGGUCGUCUUCGAAAUCGGUUUCCAUGGAGAAUUCUAAAAGCUCUAAACCAGUGUUUGAAGAAUUGGAAACUGAGGCUAAGGCAAACAAGAUUAAAAAUGGGGAUAACCGGAUAAAGGUUGGUGGUGUCUCAGCUUUGGAUGAUUUGAUGAAAGAGCAGGAAAUGGCGAAGGAGCGUAGCAACCGUAAAGAUUACUGGCUAUGCGAAGGAAUAGUUGUGAAAGUCAUGAGUAAAGGGUUGGCUGAGAAGGGGUAUUAUAAGCAGAAGGGGGUGGUUGUUAAGGUUAUCGACAAAUAUGUUGGAGAGAUUGAGAUGCUUGAUAGCAAGCAUGUGCUUAGGAUUGAUCAAGAAGAGCUGGAAACAGUGAUUCCACAGAUCGGGGGUCUUGUGAGGAUAGUGAAUGGAGCAUAUCGGGGGUCGAAUGCGAGGUUAUUGUCAGUGGACACUAACAACUUCUGUGCUAAGGUUCAAGUAGAGAAGGGUAUAUAUGACGGGCGAGUGCUUCAAGCAGUAGACUACGAGGAUAUUUGCAAGGUUAUGUAACAAGCUUGCUGAAAUGGUGGUUGUAGGUUUUCUGAUCAAGGCAGUUGGUUGAGGACAAUUUGAUUGGGUAUUUCUUUUAUCGACUUAUUUGUUGGUGGUGAUUUUCUAGCAAACACAAUAUGUUUGAUAUUCAACAUAAAAAAGGAUCCAGCACAGGGCUUAAUUAUUUCUCUUUUUAUCCACCCCAAUUCACAAUGAGACGAGUGGGUAGGUCUUGCUUUUAUUGCCCCUUUCAUUUCACCUGUGGACACAGUGCCCCAUCUUGUCCAACCUUGGAAGUGUGAACACCCAAAGAUGCCCUUAGAUGCUGUUUGGAUGUACCCUAAAUUGCAGUUGAAGUGUCCAUCCCAUGUGAAAUACAUAAGCAUCCAUUUUUCUGCA
Magnolia sinica is the source of this 2412-nucleotide RNA transcript. It is a transcript of the gene named KIN17-like protein, with no coding region annotated. The record is from RefSeq and is a predicted model, not a curated record. The transcript has 2 exons. Lineage: Eukaryota; Viridiplantae; Streptophyta; Magnoliopsida; Magnoliales; Magnoliaceae.